AGGAGCCGUGCGAGAUGAAAGUCUCAUGCACGGUUUUGAAUGAGAGUAAAGAAGUGAGGAAUCCUCUUUUCGACUCUGAC
Non-coding RNA from Spinacia oleracea (spinach), 80 nucleotides. Lineage: Eukaryota; Viridiplantae; Streptophyta; Magnoliopsida; Caryophyllales; Amaranthaceae. The record is from Rfam.